Molecule: RNA transcript, 3251 nt
Organism: Helianthus annuus (common sunflower)
Lineage: Eukaryota; Viridiplantae; Streptophyta; Magnoliopsida; Asterales; Asteraceae
Gene name: receptor protein kinase TMK1
Exons: 3
Source: RefSeq, a predicted model, not a curated record
CUUCAACUUCUCCUCUUGAAGACUUCAAAGUUCAACCUCCAAAAACCAACUGAAACUCUCUCUCUUUCUCUCUCUCUCUCUCUCUCUCUCUAGAAAAUGAGAACCCAUGUGGGACUUAAGCUCAACCUCAACUCUUUACACACAAUCUUGAUCAUCAUACUUUCUUCACUCUUGAUCCAUGCACACUCACAAACUGAUGCUGAAGUUAUGUUUUCACUCAAGAAAGCACUCAAUCCACCAAACCUUGACUGGUCCGACCCGGACCCGUGCAAAUGGGCCCACGUAGUUUGCUCAGAUGAUAACCGGGUGACCCGGAUUCAAAUCGGGCAUCAAAACCUUCAAGGCACACUCCCACCAACCCUCUCAAACCUCACUCAACUUGAGCGGUUGGAGCUCCAAUGGAACAACAUUUCGGGUCCUUUACCCGGGUUAAACGGGUUAGCAUCUUUACAAGUGUUGAUGAUCAGCAACAACAUGUUUACUUCAAUCCCAAAUGAUUUCUUUACUGGUAUGUCUUCUUUACAAUCUUUAGAACUUGAUAACAACCCGUUUGCUAAAUGGGUUAUACCCGAAAGCCUCAAAGAUGCUUCAACUCUUCAGAAUUUUUCAGCUGUUAAUGCUAACAUAAUGGGUACCAUACCCGAAUUCUUCGGGUCGGAUAGUUUUCCGGGUUUGGUUAACUUGCAUUUGGCUAUAAAUGGGUUAGAAGGGAAACUACCCAUGAGUUUAUCCGGGUCACAACUUGAAUCUUUAUGGGUUAAUGGGAACAAACUAAGUGGGAAGAUUGAUGUUAUACAAAACAUGACAUUCUUGAAGGAAGUCUGGCUGCAUUCGAAUUCGUUUUCGGGUCCUUUGCCCGAUUUUUCGGGUUUGAAAGGGUUGGAGGUGUUUAGUGUUAGGGAUAAUUCUUUCACUGGGCCUGUUCCUGAGUCUUUGACGAGUCUUGAAUCUUUAAAGUCUGUUAAUUUAACUAAUAACAUGCUGCAAGGACCAAUGCCUAAGUUUAGAGACUCGGUUUCGGUUGAUAUUGUUAAGGGGAGUAAUGAUUUUUGCUUGCCUGAGGUUGGUGAUUGUGAUCCUCGGGUUGUUACGUUGUUGUUGAUCGCGAAAUCCAUGGAUUAUCCUGCCAAGUUUGCGAGUAAUUGGAAAGGGAAUGAUCCUUGUGCGGAUUGGAUUGGGAUCACUUGUAAUAAUGAUAAUGUUACUAUUAUAAAUUUUCAGAAAAUGGGGCUUUCGGGUACAAUUUCUCCUGCGUUUUCGGAGCUGAAAUCGCUUCAAAGGAUUGUGCUUGCGAAUAAUAAUCUCACUGGCACGAUUCCGGAAUCGCUCGCUACACUUCCGGCGCUUAGUGAGUUAGAUCUUGAGAAUAAUAAUCUGUAUGGUAAAGUGCCGGUUUUCAAGAGUAAUUUGAAGGUGAACACGAGUGGGAAUCCGGAUAUAGGGAAGGACCGAAGCAGUUCUAGUGAUCCGAACUCGCAAAACCCUUCGGGUUCACCAAAUGCAGAUGGGGUUUCACUACAUCCUAAAAAGAGUUCGAAAAGCUGGAUUGGUGUCGUGUUGUUUUCGAUUCUUGGAGGUGUUUUGGUCAUGUUUUUCAUCGGUGGGCUCGCGUUCUGUCUUUACAAGAAGAAGCAGCAGAAGUCUAGUAGAGGUCAAAGCCCUCAUGCCAUAGUGAUCCACCCUUGUAACUCGGGGUCCGAUAACGAAAGCGUGAAGAUCACUGUUGCUGGCUCGAGUGUCAGCGUUGGUGGGCUCACUGAAACGCACACGGUUCCCACAAACGAUGGGUCCGAUAUCCAGAUGGUGGAGGCUGGAAACAUGGUCAUUUCAAUUCAAGUCCUGAAAACUGUCACCAACAACUUUGCGGAAGAGAAUAUAUUGGGACAGGGAGGUUUCGGAACGGUUUACAAAGGGGAAUUACACGAUGGAACGAAAAUAGCCGUUAAGCGAAUGGAAUGUGGCGUGAUCACCGGAAAAGGGUUAGCCGAAUUCCAAUCGGAAAUCGCAGUUUUAACCAAAGUUAGGCAUAGAAAUCUUGUGGCGCUACUUGGUUACUGUCUCGACGGGAACGAGAAGCUACUUGUGUAUGAGUAUAUGCCACAAGGAACAUUAAGCCGACAUUUGUUUAACUGGCCCGAAGAAGGGCUGAACCCGUUGGAAUGGACCCGCCGGUUAGCCAUCGCGUUGGAUGUGGCUCGCGGGGUAGAGUAUCUUCACGGUUUAGCACAACAAAGUUUCAUUCACCGAGACUUGAAACCUUCCAAUAUCCUCCUCGGUGAUGAUAUGCGAGCCAAAGUUGGUGAUUUCGGCCUUGUUCGCCUUGCUCCGGAAGGUAAGGGCUCCGUCGAGACCAGGAUCGCUGGAACGUUCGGCUAUCUAGCCCCCGAAUAUGCAAUUACCGGCCGAGUAACAACCAAAGUCGACGUGUUCAGCUUCGGCGUGAUCCUCAUGGAGCUAAUCACAGGCCGAAAAGCCCUAGACGAGAGCCAGCCCGAAGAAAGCAUGCACCUAGUAACAUGGUUCCGAAGAAUCCACCUCAACAAAGACACAUUCCGCAAAUCAAUCGAUCAAACCCUCGACCUCACAGAAGAAAACUUAGCAAGUAUUAGCAAAGCAGCGGAGCUCGCGGGCCAUUGCUGUGCCCGAGAGCCCUACCAACGGCCCGACAUGAGCCACGCGGUCAACGUACUCUCUUCUCUUGUUGAAAUGUGGAAACCGUCUGAUCAAAGCUCGGAUGACAUAUACGGAAUUGAUCUUGAUCUUUCGCUACCUCAAGCGUUGCAGAAAUGGCAAGCGUUUGAAGGCGGAAGCCAUACGAUGGACGCUUCAUCAUCGUCGUUUGUUCUGAGUUUGGAUAACACGCAGACGAGCAUACCUACACGGCCGUAUGGAUUUGCUGAGUCGUUUACGUCUAUGGAUGGAAGAUGAUGGAUGAGAAGCGGGUAAUUUUUUUAAAAAAAAUUAUAGUUUUUGUGAUUGGUUUGGUUUUUUUAAUAUUUAUUUUAAAUCUGACUUUUGGUGUAGGAUCUUUUUUUAUAUAUACUUUUGGUAGGGUUUUUUUUUUUUUUUUGGUUGUAAUGUAACCUUGGAAAUUGUGGUGGGGGACGGUUGUUGGGUUGUGCUUUAAUGUUUUUUUCGGUUAAUGAUUGAAAAGGUGUUACUUUGAGGUUGUAAAGAAAGGGGUAAGAAUGACCCCGCUAUGAUUUAUUAUGAUUUUAACUAAUUUAUUUAUAUGAGAAAUGUUAACGCUG